RNAcentral lists this ribosomal RNA (475 nucleotides) under uncultured bacterium. RNAcentral's name for it is "bacterial SSU rRNA". It matches the Rfam family "Bacterial small subunit ribosomal RNA", at positions 355 to 822 of the family's 1533-position model. The record is from RNAcentral.
UGGGGAAUAUUGGACAAUGGGGGGAACCCUGAUCCAGCAAUGCCGCGUGUGUGAAGAAGGCCUGAGGGUUGUAAAGCACUUUCAGAGGGGAGGAGGACUAUUAGGUUAAGAGCUAGAUAGUUGGACGUUACCCUCAGAAGCAGCACCGGCUAACUCCGUGCCAGCAGCCGCGGUAAUACGGGGGGUGCAAGCGUUAAUCGGAAUUAUUGGGCGUAAAGGGUGCGUAGGUUGUUUGAUAAGAUAUAUGUGAAAUACCUGGGCUCAACCUGGGAAGGUCAUAUAAGACUGUCAGACUCGAGUAUGGGAGAGGGUAGAGGAAUUUCCGGUGUAGCGGUGAAAUGCGUAGAUAUCGGAAGGAACAUCGGUGGCGAAGGCGUCUACCUGGCCUAAUACUGACACUGACGCUGAGGCGCGAAAGCCAGGGGAGCAAACGGGAUUAGAUACCCCCGUAGUCCCUGAGCGGGCUGGCAAGGCG